This 497-nucleotide ribosomal RNA is filed under the name uncultured bacterium. Its description in RNAcentral is "partial 16S ribosomal RNA". It matches the Rfam family "Bacterial small subunit ribosomal RNA", at positions 28 to 507 of the family's 1533-position model. The record is from RNAcentral.
GAUGAACGCUGGCGGCGUGCCUAAUACAUGCAAGUCGAGCGAACGGACGAGAAGCUUGCUUCUCUGAUGUUAGCGGCGGACGGGUGAGUAACACGUGGAUAACCUACCUAUAAGACUGGGAUAACUUCGGGAAACCGGAGCUAAUACCGUAUAAUAUUUUGAACCGCAUGGUUCAAAAGUGAAAGACGGUCUUUCUGUCACUGAUAGAUGGAUCCGCGCUGCAUUAGCUAGUUGGUAAGGUAACGGCUUACCAAGGCAACGAUGCAUAGCCGACCUGAGAGGGUGAUCGGCCACACUGGAACUGAGACACGGUCCAGACUCCUACGGGAAGCAGCAGUAGGGAAUCUUCCGCAAGGGGCGAAAGCCUGACGGAGCAACGCCGAGUGAGUGAUGAAGGUCUUCGGAUCGUAAAACUCUGUUAUUAGGGAAGAACAUAUGUGUAAGUAACUGUGCACAUCUUGACGGUAACUAAUCAGAAAGCCACGGCUAACUACGUG